AUUGAACGCUGGUGGCAUGCCUUACACAUGCAAGUCGAACGGCAGCACGGGUGCUUGCACUUGGUGGCGAGUGGCGCACGGGUGAGUAAUACAUCGGAACAUGUCCUGUAGGGGGGGAUAGCCCGGCGAAAGCCGGUUUAAUACCGCAUACGAUGUACGGGUGAAAGCGGGGGACCUUCGGCCCUCGCGCUCUAGGGUGGGCCGAUGGCUGAUUAGCUAGUUGGUGGGGUAAAGGCCUACCAAGGCGACGAUCAGUAGCUGGUCUGAGAGGACGACCAGUCACACUGGGACUGAGACACGGCCCAGACUCCUACGGGAGGCAGCAGUGGGGAAUUUUGGACAAUGGGCGAAAGCCUGAUCCAGCAAUGCCGCGUGUGUGAAGAAGGCCUUCGGGUUGUAAAGCACUUUUGUCCGGGAAGAAAUCCUUUGCCCUAAUACGGUCGGGGUUUGACGGUACCGGAAGAAUAAGCACCGGCUAACUACGUG
RNAcentral lists this ribosomal RNA (486 nucleotides) under uncultured bacterium. Its description in RNAcentral is "partial 16S ribosomal RNA". It matches the Rfam family "Bacterial small subunit ribosomal RNA", at positions 30 to 507 of the family's 1533-position model. The record is from RNAcentral.